Molecule: ribosomal RNA, 395 nt
Filed under: uncultured bacterium
Lineage: Bacteria
Description: bacterial SSU rRNA
Rfam family: Bacterial small subunit ribosomal RNA
Source: RNAcentral
GUGCCAGCCGCCGCGGUAAUACGUAGGUGGCAAGCGUUAUCCGGAAUUAUUGGGCGUAAAGCGCGCGCAGGCGGUUUCUUAAGUCUGAUGUGAAAGCCCACGGCUCAACCGUGGAGGGUCAUUGGAAACUGGGGAACUUGAGUGCAGAAGAGAAAAGCGGAAUUCCACGUGUAGCGGUGAAAUGCGUAGAGAUGUGGAGGAACACCAGUGGCGAAGGCGGCUUUUUGGUCUGUAACUGACGCUGAGGCGCGAAAGCGUGGGGAGCAAACAGGAUUAGAUACCCUGGUAGUCCACGCCGUAAACGAUGAGUGCUAAGUGUUAGAGGGUUUCCGCCCUUUAGUGCUGCAGCUAACGCAUUAAGCACUCCGCCUGGGGAGUACGGUCGCAAGACUGAA